UUGCCCCCCCAUGUGGAGGUGGAGCAUCUUGUGACACAAAAACAGAGGCAUGGCUGAGUCCAGGCAUGGCUGGCUGAAGGACGUGUGGGAUGUUGGGGAAACUGGCCAUAUCCACCCAUCAGGGGACGUAGAAGAUAUUUCUGAGGAGCUGCUUGCUGCCUUAGCGAUGGAUCAGUCAUCAGGACUUUGUCAAUAUCCUGUCAGCAACUGCUUGGAUAGAGCUCUUACCCUAGAGGUCACUCAAUAAAGGUAACAUGAGUAAUUUAAA
Molecule: long non-coding RNA, 268 nt
Organism: Mesocricetus auratus (golden hamster)
Lineage: Eukaryota; Metazoa; Chordata; Mammalia; Rodentia; Cricetidae
Exons: 2
Source: RefSeq, a predicted model, not a curated record